UGGGGAAUAUUGGACAAUGGGCGCAAGCCUGAUCCAGCCAUGUCGCGUGAGUGAUGAAGGCCCUAGGGUUGUAAAGCUCUUUUGUGCGGGAAGAUAAUGACUGUACCGCAAGAAUAAGCCCCGGCUAACUUCGUGCCAGCAGCCGCGGUAAUACGAAGGGGGCUAGCGUUGCUCGGAAUCACUGGGCGUAAAGGGUGCGUAGGCGGGUCUUUAAGUCAGGGGUGAAAUCCUGGAGCUCAACUCCAGAACCGCCUUUGAUACUGAAGAUCUUGAGUUCGGGAGAGGUGAGUGGAACUGCGAGUGUAGAGGUGAAAUUCGUAGAUAUUCGCAAGAACACCAGUGGCGAAGGCGGCUCACUGGCCCGAUACUGACGCUGAGGCACGAAAGCGUGGGGAGCAAACA
Molecule: ribosomal RNA, 402 nt
Filed under: uncultured bacterium
Lineage: Bacteria
Description: bacterial SSU rRNA
Rfam family: Bacterial small subunit ribosomal RNA
Source: RNAcentral